GCCAUUUUGGCUCAGUGGAUAGAGCAUCAGUCCGUGGACUGAAGGUCCUGGGUUUGAUUCCAAUCAUGGCA
This 71-nucleotide transfer RNA is filed under the name Myotis brandtii (Brandt's bat). It matches the Rfam family "tRNA". From Rfam's summary of the family: Transfer RNA (tRNA) molecules are approximately 80 nucleotides in length. Lineage: Eukaryota; Metazoa; Chordata; Mammalia; Chiroptera; Vespertilionidae. The record is from Rfam by way of RNAcentral.